GGCGCUGAACUUCUUCUGGAGCGGGAAUAUAUGCGGGAACCGAGUUUUGUUCAUGAGACGAUCCCGAUGCACGGGAACUGCUCACCAAACUACGUCGAAGACGGGCUGCGGGGCGGGGUACAUCCUCAGACCUAAAAAAAAAAUUAAUACAUCAAAAAUCUUUUCAAAUCAUUUCUAUUUUUAAUGUUUUCAUUUAUAUAUUUACAAAAGGUUUUAUAAACGUUUUAAAAAAAACUAUUAAACCUUUUAUUAUACAUAGUUUAUUACAGGAAACUUAUAAAAAAUUAUAAAAAUUUUAAAAUUUUUUAUUAUACAUGAUUUAUAUAUAUAUGUAUACAAAAUUAUAAAAUUUUUAUAAAUAUAGAAAAAUGUUGUUAAAUAUUUUUAAAAUUUUUAAAAAACAUUUUAUUAUACAUAGUUUAUUACUGGAAACUUGAAAAACGUUUUUAAAAAUAAAAAAACUUUUUAAAAAUAGUAAAACGUUUUGAAUUUUAACAAACACACAAAAUAAUUCCAAGAAAAACUAAAACAACAAUCCAAACAACAAUCCUAACUUAUAUAUCCUAAACUAUCCAUUCAAUCCUAAAAUUUUCAAUCAAACAACCUAAAAUCCGAGAUCUAACUUCCAAAACCCUAAAAAAAUGAGAUAAAACAAGGUUGGGAUGAUUCUUACAUGAUUUGGGGUUUGGGGAAGAGAUAUGAGGGUGAGAAGAGGAUUCGCCGGUGAUAGGAGCUCGAGAAUGGUCGGAAUCGC
RNAcentral lists this long non-coding RNA (754 nucleotides) under Brassica rapa (field mustard). RNAcentral describes it as "long non-coding RNA (BRAP_LNC001701)". Lineage: Eukaryota; Viridiplantae; Streptophyta; Magnoliopsida; Brassicales; Brassicaceae. The record is from RNAcentral.